This 880-nucleotide ribosomal RNA is filed under the name Loratospora luzulae. RNAcentral's name for it is "eukaryotic LSU rRNA". It matches the Rfam family "Eukaryotic large subunit ribosomal RNA", at positions 33 to 931 of the family's 3401-position model. Lineage: Eukaryota; Fungi; Ascomycota; Dothideomycetes; Pleosporales; Phaeosphaeriaceae. The record is from RNAcentral.
GCUAAGCAUAUCAAUAAGCGGAGGAAAAGAAACCAACAGGGAUUGCCCUAGUAACGGCGAGUGAAGCGGCAACAGCUCAAAUUUGAAAUCUGGCUCUUUUAGGGUCCGAGUUGUAAUUUGCAGAGGGCGCUUUGGCGUUGGCAGCGGUCCAAGUUCUUUGGAACAGGACGUCACAGAGGGUGAGAAUCCCGUACGUGGUCGCUAGCCUUCGCCGUGUAAAGCCCCUUCGACGAGUCGAGUUGUUUGGGAAUGCAGCUCUAAAUGGGAGGUAAAUUUCUUCUAAAGCUAAAUACUGGCCAGAGACCGAUAGCGCACAAGUAGAGUGAUCGAAAGAUGAAAAGCACUUUGGAAAGAGAGUCAAAUAGCACGUGAAAUUGUUGAAAGGGAAGCGCUUGCAGCCAGACUUGCCUGUAGUUGCUUAUCCGGACUUUUGUCCGGUGCACUCUUCUGCGGGCAGGCCAGCAUCAGUUUAGGCGGUUGGAUAAAGGUCUCUAUCACGUACCUCCCUUCGGGGUUGGCCUUAUAGGGGAGACGACAUGCAACCAGCCUGAACUGAGGUCCGCGCAUCUGCUAGGAUGCUGGCGUAAUGGCUGUAAGCGGCCCGUCUUGAAACACGGACCAAGGAGUCUAACAUCUAUGCGAGUGUUUGGGUGUCAAGCCCAGACGCGUAAUGAAAGUGAACGGAGGUGGGAACCUUUUAGGUGCACCAUCGACCGAUCCUGAUGUCUUCGGAUGGAUUUGAGUAAGAGCAUGGCUGUUGGGACCCGAAAGAUGGUGAACUAUGCUUGAAUAGGGUGAAGCCAGAGGAAACUCUGGUGGAGGCUCGCAGCGGUUCUGACGUGCAAAUCGAUCGUCAAAUUUGGGCAUAGGGGCGAAAGAC